ACGGCUCAGUAACACGUGGAUAACCUGCCCUUGGGUCCGGCAUAACCCCGGGAAACUGGGGAUAAUUCCGGAUAACGCACAUAUGCUGGAAUGCUUUAUGCGUAAAAUGGAUUCGUCUGCCCAAGGAUGGGUCUGCGGCCUAUCAGGUAGUAGUGGGUGUAAUGUACCUACUAGCCAACAACGGGUACGGGUUGUGAGAGCAAGAGCCCGGAGAUGGAUUCUGAGACAUGAAUCCAGGCCCUACGGGGCGCAGCAGGCGCGAAAACUUUACAAUGCGGGAAACCGUGAUAAGGGGACACCGAGUGCCAGCAUCAUAUGCUGGCUGUCCAGGUGUGUAAAAUACACCUGUCAGCAAGGGCCGGGCAAGACCGGUGCCAGCCGCCGCGGUAACACCGGCGGCCCGAGUGGUGAUCGUGAUUAUUGGGUCUAAAGGGUCCGUAGCCGGUUUGGUCAGUCCUCCGGGAAAUCUGACGGCUCAACCGUUAGGCUUUCGGGGGAUACUGCCAGGCUUGGAACCGGGAGAGGUAAGAGGUACUACAGGGGUAGGAGUGAAAUCUUGUAAUCCCUGUGAGACCACCUGUGGCGAAGGCGUCUUACCAGAACGGGUUCGACGGUGAGGGACGAAAGCUGGGGGCACGAACCGGAUUAGAUACCCGGGUAGUCCCAGCCGUAAACGAUGCUCGCUAGGUGUCAGGCAUGGCGCGACCGUGUCUGGUGCCGCAGGAAAGCCGUGAAGCGAGCCACCUGGGAAGUACGGCCGCAAGGCUGAAACUUAAAGGAAUUGGCGGGGGAGCACAAU
RNAcentral lists this ribosomal RNA (799 nucleotides) under uncultured archaeon. Its description in RNAcentral is "bacterial SSU rRNA". It matches the Rfam family "Archaeal small subunit ribosomal RNA", at positions 85 to 882 of the family's 1478-position model. The record is from RNAcentral.